Onychostoma macrolepis is the source of this 888-nucleotide long non-coding RNA. RefSeq lists it as uncharacterized. The record is from RefSeq and is a predicted model, not a curated record. The transcript has 3 exons. Lineage: Eukaryota; Metazoa; Chordata; Actinopteri; Cypriniformes; Cyprinidae.
UCAGGAUCUGAGCAGUCACGAAAGGAACCUCCACUCUCAUACUCAUUUGCUGCUUCAUUUGUGUUUUUACAGUACUGAUAAACAAAGGUGAGAAACAAAUAUAUUUGAGAGUUAAUUUCACGCCACAUAAAUAAAUAACACAUUGUGUGCGUACAGUUAAAGCUUUUGUGAUUUCAGUGUGUCUGCAGGUCACAGUAAAGGGUAUUAUUGGUGAUUCUGUUGUUCUGCCGUGUUCAACUAAACAUGAUCUUAAACUUCAGGACAUUAAUGUGCACUGGAGACAAAAUGGCAGCAAAAUUGUGUAUGAUAUAGUUGAAGGUAAAGAUUCAAUAGCAGAACAGAAUCAACGGUACAAGAACAGAGCUGAAACUUUCCCUGAAGAGUAUGAGGGAGGAAACUUCUCUCUCAAAAUCACCAGUCUCACUCACGCUGAUGCAGGAAAAUACAACUGCCUCAUCACACCCUCAGAUGAACAGAAGACUGUAGAGCUGAUCAUCAAAGAAAACGAGAGAGAAAAAACUGACAAUGAGUGGUUGUCAUUGUACUGGGUUUACAUUGCUGUACUGUUAAUAGUGCUAUUAAUAGCCUGUUUCAUCACAUAUCUCUGCUGCAGAAAAAAAAGAUAAAAUCAAUUUCAAAUCAAAUCAUGACUGAAGGACCAAUAACAAUGAUAGCAAUGACAAACUUUCUCUCACCUUUCUGACUAUCAGCUCAUUGUUUUUGUCUGGUUCAGAAGCACAGUAGAAUGAGAUCUUGAACAUCAGUAUGUUGCUGCCGCAACAGUUCUGUACCACAAGUGUCCCAUGUUGUGUUUGCUAGAAUCAAAUCUAUUCGAUUGUCUUUGAGUGUUAUUUCAUGUUUAUGUUCAAAUUAAAGCUGCACAUCAUU